Long non-coding RNA from Bombus pyrosoma, 1659 nucleotides. RefSeq lists it as uncharacterized. The transcript is spliced from 3 exons. Lineage: Eukaryota; Metazoa; Arthropoda; Insecta; Hymenoptera; Apidae. The record is from RefSeq and is a predicted model, not a curated record.
CAGUUACGUGAACAGCAUUAAACCAGCGAAGCAACCGGGUAAAGAUUCUAUUUCGAGUAUUAUCAGUCGCUUGAGUACGCGUUAAGAAACGAUUCUUUUAACUCGGAUCGAUAAAGUUAAAAAUAUUUAUAUACAAGGUGUCCUGUUUAUCGCAGCGUGAUAGGUAUUUUAUUUUCGUUGAUUGCUAGAGACCGAAGACUGCUGGUUCUAAUUUCUAAGGUCCAUCAUAGAAUCGGGAAACUAACUUUGUCGAAAUGUAAAAUUGCAAAAUUAUAAAAGAGAUGUUUCUAAACAAAGCUCUGACGUAACUUGUAACUGGUCGGUUCAUCGAUAUUAUUAGUUAUCCUGUAAGAUGAACCCGAGACGACACAGCUAGGAAAGCUAUCGAAUUGCAGUCAAUUCGAGUUGCCGACUCACAUUGUGGGAACUCGAUCCGUGAGAAGAGGAAGCUCGCGGCACAAUACGGCGAAAAAUUGGAGCGAAACAAACUGAGAACGCUUUGCAGCGAUACCGCGAUCGCCCUUUAUCGUUCGGUAAACAAGCGGUCGCGAGUCACGGGAAAUAUUUGCCGUUCUUAAAAGUCCACCCAGCCGGCAAUUUGGCCGGCGUUGGAUAAGAGGAGGUUGCUGGAAGGAUUCGCUGUCGAGACCGUUUAAAUCACUGCCUGGAGGGUCAACAGCCUGGCGAGGAGGUUUAACCGCGAUUCGCCUUUUAACUCGGAAGACAGAUCGCCUGCCGACUAAUUGACAAUCGAGGGAAAGAACGUUUCCGGGCGGUAGACCGCGAGAGCGUUUCCUCCUCUAGCAUUUCCACCAUCGAAAAGAAAAAGACUCGAGACAAUGGUGGAUUCCACUUGGCAACCGGUGCUUUCGGGACACUACAAUUAACGAAUUCCAGAAAUUAUUCCAGCACCGUGACAGAACGAUACGAGGAGAGAGUCAGCGACGACGGAGGAAAAGCCAUUCGUUUCCGGUGCAGAGUCGGACAAGAACGUCGACGUCGCGCAAUUCCAACGCGACGAAGAAAAGCUACCAGUCGAGUAUGGGACGAGAGAGAAAGAGCAAGGGAGAAGCUGAAGGACACUUCGGAAGAAAGAACGGCCGCCUCGUUAGAACACCGACCACCUCCGGGCAUCCUUGGCUCCUCGAUUCCUCUGCACUAAUUAAAUACUGCCGAGACGCGGAUUCGGCGUUCGACUGCAGCGAAAAUCUCGCCUACGGAUCCUCGACCUGUGCCCAGAAAGCAAGGAUUGGAACGACGACUUCUGACACUCCGUUUAAGAAGAGGCUCGGUCUUCGAUCGAGUUUCUUUCCGAUCAGAGUUUCUGGAUUCGUCAAAGGUGGCUUCGUUUGCGAUUUAAAGCAUUUCGAAGGUUUUGUUCGAUGGUUUUCAAGCUGAAGUAUAUCGAUGGAAAUGAAGUAAAAUUAGACACGCAUAGUUGCUACAAUGAAUAAUUGGUGUUAUUAUUUUUUCAAGAUGUUAAUCCUUGAUAUUUUUUAAUCGACGAAUAUUAGCACGCCGUAUUACGCGUUCAUUCAUAUAUUUUAUAUAUUAGGUUGUCCGGAAAGUGUCUUUCUUUCGCAAACCUACUUUUUACAACAGUGCAAACGUACAACCAUACUUCAUACAAACGUGAAACCAGGUCUGUGAAAUGUCACG